CCUACGGGAGGCAGCAGUGAGGAAUAUUGGUCAAUGGACGAGAGUCUGAACCAGCCAAGUCGCGUGAAGGAUGACUGCCCUCUGGGUUGUAAACUUCUUUUAUAGAGGAAUACAACGAGGCACGUGUGCCUUUUUGCAUGUACUUUAUGAAUAAGGAUCGGCUCACUCCGUGCCAGCAGCCACGGUAAUACGGAGGGUCCGUGCGUUGUCCGGAUUUGUUGGGUUUAAAGGGAGCGUAGAUGGGUUGUUAAGUCUGUUGUGAAAGUUUGCGGCUCAACCGGAAAAUGGCAAUUGAUACUGGCAGGCUUGAGUGCAGUAGAGGUAGGCGGAAUUCGUGGUGUAGCGGUGAAAUGCUUAGAUAUCACGAAGAACCCCGAUUGCGAAGGCAGCUUACUAAACUGUGACUGACGCUGAGGCUCGAAAGUGUGGGGAUCAAACAGGAUUAGAUACCCUGGUAGUC
Molecule: ribosomal RNA, 460 nt
Filed under: uncultured bacterium
Lineage: Bacteria
Description: partial 16S ribosomal RNA
Rfam family: Bacterial small subunit ribosomal RNA
Source: RNAcentral